Molecule: transfer RNA, 71 nt
Filed under: Apogonia splendida
Lineage: Eukaryota; Metazoa; Arthropoda; Insecta; Coleoptera; Scarabaeidae
Description: tRNA-Lys
Source: RNAcentral
CAUUAGAUGACUGAAAGCAAGUACUGGUCUCUUAAACCACUAAAUAGUAACCUAGCGUCUACUUCUAAUGA